GCGGUUGUGGCUCAUGGGUAGAGCGCUCGCCUCAAAUGUGUGAGGCCCUGGGUUUGAUCCUCAGCACCACA
RNAcentral lists this transfer RNA (71 nucleotides) under Marmota monax (woodchuck). It matches the Rfam family "tRNA". From Rfam's summary of the family: Transfer RNA (tRNA) molecules are approximately 80 nucleotides in length. Their secondary structure includes four short double-helical elements and three loops (D, anti-codon, and T loops). Further hydrogen bonds mediate the characteristic L-shaped molecular structure. tRNAs have two regions of fundamental functional importance: the anti-codon, which is responsible for specific mRNA codon recognition, and the 3' end, to which the tRNAs corresponding amino acid is attached (by aminoacyl-tRNA synthetases). tRNAs cope with the degeneracy of the genetic code in two manners: having more than one tRNA (with a specific anti-codon) for a particular amino acid; and 'wobble' base-pairing, i.e. permitting non-standard base-pairing at the 3rd anti-codon position. The record is from Rfam by way of RNAcentral. Lineage: Eukaryota; Metazoa; Chordata; Mammalia; Rodentia; Sciuridae.